AAGGCUAGCACUCCCCUUGAGAAGGCUGGAAGAGGUGCUGGUGGCCUUGCCAACACACGCACGGUUAAGGCAUUGCCGCCUUCUUCGUGGCAUCUAACCAAGUUUUUUA
RNAcentral lists this non-coding RNA (109 nucleotides) under Ornithorhynchus anatinus (platypus). The record is from RNAcentral. Lineage: Eukaryota; Metazoa; Chordata; Mammalia; Monotremata; Ornithorhynchidae.